RNAcentral lists this ribosomal RNA (440 nucleotides) under uncultured bacterium. Its description in RNAcentral is "partial 16S ribosomal RNA". It matches the Rfam family "Bacterial small subunit ribosomal RNA", at positions 338 to 795 of the family's 1533-position model. The record is from RNAcentral.
CCUACGGGCGGCUGCAGUGGGGAAUAUUGCACAAUGGGGGAAACCCUGAUGCAGCGACGCCGCGUGAAUGAAGAAGUAUUUCGGUAUGUAAACCUCUAUCAGCAGGGAAGAAAAUGACGGUACCUGACUAAGCAGCCCCGGCUAACUACGUGCCAGCAGCCGCGGUAAUACGUAGGGGGCAAGCGUUAUCCGGAUUUACUGGGUGUAAAGGGAGCGUAGGCGGUUGAGCAAGUCUGAAGUGAAAGCCCGGGGCUCAACGCCGGGACUGCUUUUGAAACUGUUCGACUGGAGUGCAGGAGAGGUAAGUGGAAUUCCUAGUGUAGCGGUGAAAUGCGUAGAUAUAAGGAGGAACACCAGUGGCGAAGGCGGCUUACUGGACUGUAAAUGACGCUGAGGCUCGAAAGCGUGGGGAGCAAACAGGAUUAGAUACCCCUGUAGUC